UACGUAGGGUGCGAGCGUUGUCCGGAAUUACUGGGUGUAAAGGGCGUGUAGGCGGGAAGAUAAGUCAGAUGUGAAAUCCCAGGGCUUAACUCUGGAGCUGCAUCUGAAACUGUUUUUCUUGAGUACUGGAGAGGAAAGUGGAAUUCCUAGUGUAGCGGUGAAAUGCGUAGAGAUUAGGAGGAACACCAGUGGCGAAGGCGGCUUUCUGGACAGUAACUGACGCUGAGGCGCGAAAGCGUGGGGAGCAAACAGGAUUAGAUACCCUUGUAGU
RNAcentral lists this ribosomal RNA (271 nucleotides) under uncultured prokaryote. Its description in RNAcentral is "partial 16S ribosomal RNA". It matches the Rfam family "Bacterial small subunit ribosomal RNA", at positions 524 to 794 of the family's 1533-position model. The record is from RNAcentral.